This 985-nucleotide long non-coding RNA is filed under the name Rattus norvegicus (Norway rat). RNAcentral's name for it is "long non-coding RNA NONRATT009563". Lineage: Eukaryota; Metazoa; Chordata; Mammalia; Rodentia; Muridae. The record is from RNAcentral.
AGGAAGCGCGCGGGGCUCCUCCGACGCCGCGGUCGCAAAGGUGCGGAGGGGACGCAGGGUGCAGGCCGGGCGCACUGAACUUCCUGCACGGCAGCCAGUCGCCGCCCGGGCCCAGCCCCGGCCCAUCCUGGCCAUGCAGGCCCGCACUCGCCCCUGCCCGAGCCUCCGGAGCACCGCUCGGGGCUCCGCUGCUCUGGCCUGGGGGGCGGGGCCGGCGGCGCGGCGUCAUGCAUAUGCAUGAGCAGCGCGGCGGCGGCUCCAUUGUGCCCUCCGAGCGGCGGCGGCGCGAUGGCGCGGGCGGCGGCGGCCCGGGGGCGGCGGGCGGCGCCGAGGGCGGGCUGAGCGCAUGGAGCGGCGCGGGCCGGGGGCCGCGGCGACGGGCCGGGCCGGGCCGGGCGGAGGAAAGAGCUGCCAGCCAGGGGCUGGGUUGGCGCCUGUGUCCUGUGUCAGCCGAGUCGGUACAGCCGCCCUAAGGCCAAGCUGGUGGAUGGACUGCUGUUGUACAUCUGCUUCCUGACUUUCCCAGCCUCCGCCUCAAAGAACACUUAGGCUCUGCUCCUUCUCAGCAGCCGGAGCAGCAACUCCCAGAUAAAUUCCAGCGCAUUGGGCCUGUAGGCUGCUCCAUCACCAAUGAACCCCAUGAACCCCAUGAAACCUGCCCUGCCCCCUGCACCACACGGUGAUGGUUCAUUUGCAUAUGAGUCUGUGCCUUGGCAACAAAGUGCCACUCAGCCAGCUGGGUCACUGUCCGUGGUCACUACUGUGUGGGGAGUUGGCAACGCAACACAGAGCCAGGUGAGUGUGUCCCGGGCCGUCCUCCCCCAGUUGAGGACCCAGAGCUUUGGUGUGCCUCUGCCGUCUUAGGGCUCCAAGAACAAGGGACCAAGAGGACUGCUGAAUCACAAGGACGGGGCUUCCUGAGGGUCUCAAGUCACUAGGUGCCUUCCUCCUGUACUGUCAUGGGAUGUCUGCCCCUGGCUCCAUA